UACAGAGGUCCCAAGCGUUGUUCGGAUUCACUGGGCGUAAAGGGUGCGUAGGUGGUAGGGUAAGUCGGAUGUGAAAGCUCGGAGCUCAACUCCGAAAUGGCAUUGGAAACUACCCAACUAGAGGUUCGGAGGGGGGACUGGAAUUCUUGGUGCAGCAGUGAAAUGCGUAGAUAUCAAGAGGAACACCAGUGGCGAAGGCGAGUCCCUGGACGACACCUGACACUGAGGCACGAAAGCUAGGGGAGCAAACAGG
Molecule: ribosomal RNA, 253 nt
Filed under: uncultured bacterium
Lineage: Bacteria
Description: partial 16S ribosomal RNA
Rfam family: Bacterial small subunit ribosomal RNA
Source: RNAcentral